CAAUAGCGUAUAUUUAUGUUGCUGCAGUUAAAAAGCUCGUAGUUGGAUUUCGGGUGGGAAUGGCCGGUCCGCCGUUUCGGUGUGCACUUGCUACGCCCACCUUGCUGCCGGGGACGUGCUCUUGAGUUCACGCUCGGGACACGGAGUCGGCGAGGUUACUUUGAGUAAAUUAGAGUGUUCAAAGCAGGCCUACGCUCUGAAUACAUUAGCAUGGAAUAACACGAUAGGACUCUGGCCUAUCUUGUUGGUCUGUAGGACCGGAGUAAUGAUUAAGAGGGACAGUCGGGGGCAUUCGUAUUUCAUUGUCAGAGGUGAAAUUCUUGGAUUUAUGAAAGACGAACUACUGCGAAAGCAUUUGCCAAGGAUGUUUUCAUUAA
This 377-nucleotide ribosomal RNA is filed under the name uncultured eukaryote. RNAcentral describes it as "partial 18S ribosomal RNA". It matches the Rfam family "Eukaryotic small subunit ribosomal RNA", at positions 592 to 976 of the family's 1831-position model. The record is from RNAcentral.